Long non-coding RNA from Struthio camelus australis, 474 nucleotides. RefSeq lists it as uncharacterized. Lineage: Eukaryota; Metazoa; Chordata; Aves; Struthioniformes; Struthionidae. The record is from RefSeq and is a predicted model, not a curated record.
CCAGUCUUUGCAGCACUGAUGGCUACCUGCUGUUUAUUACUUCAGUGAUGGCUUCUGUGUCUGCACGUAGGGGUCUUCCGAGUCUCUGCUGCUUUUGGCCAUGGGGCCAUGGGGAGGAGAGUUAGAAGUGACUGUGCCUGCCGUUUUUUUCAAGGCUGCUCUGCAAAUUUCUUUGAAUCUCAGUGAAACUGAUAAGGACUAGACAUUUACUGUGCUGAGACUGUGCCAGACUGAUUUCUGAGAAAUCUCCGUCAGUUGUAUGACACUCUGAAGACCAUGAGUUUCAACUUGCAUUAAAAAUGCCAGAAAGGAUCAAGAUAGAACAUAGUCCUGAAAUGUUCAGGUGGCUAGAUGGAAGAAUUAGAAAUCUCACCAAAACGCCCGUCCAGCGCUCGGCCAAUUUUGCAGACCAGCUCUUGCCAGGGCUUACCCAAACCCCUCUGAAAUUCCAUCCGAAGUCUUUGAAGCCCUUCU